ACUCUUUUAAGUGAUUAUCAGAUUACUUUUGAGUGUUUUUAGCUUAUAAAUUUUUCAAUAAAAUAUCGUUAAUAUUAUUCAUUUAUGUUCAUUUCACAUUUUAUUCCAACAAGACGUUAUAGUACCUAUUAUAAUUUUAUUAAACAAAAUGAUUGUUACAAAGCAUACUCUUCGGCUUCUAGUCGGAGUAUUAGUCAUUUAUUGCUGUAUUGAAACCACUGUUGGUGGAUCAAUUCGUGACGUAUUGAAUGAGGACGAACCGACUCCUGGUACAACGUUAUCUCCCAGUCAGACCGAGCAGAGCAGCGAUCCCACAACGUCCGAUACUUCUGUCACGUCAACCGAUCAUAAGACAGGAAGACCGAAAAUCCAUCGUCGUACAAGUAUGAUGCCGCGUAAGAAAACGACUACAACUACAGAGAUUCCACUAUCGACGGCAUCGGAAUAGAGGCCUUACGGUGGGCUAAGACCUAAGAUUGCUGCAAGACAUCUAUAAUAAUAUAAAAACAUUAUGACAAUACGUUACUAUGAAUUUAUAUAAAUUAAACCAAAUUGAUUUUAUUCAAGAAUAAAAUAAAAAAUUUCGAGCACUCAUAUAUUAGUUGUAUCAUGUAUGUUAUACAGUCAAUCCAUAAAAAGUUAUGAUACUUUCA
Molecule: long non-coding RNA, 653 nt
Organism: Acyrthosiphon pisum (pea aphid)
Lineage: Eukaryota; Metazoa; Arthropoda; Insecta; Hemiptera; Aphididae
Exons: 3
Source: RefSeq, a predicted model, not a curated record